AACGAACGCUGGCGGCAGGCCUAACACAUGCAAGUCGAGCGAGCAUUUCGGUGCUAGCGGCGGACGGGUGAGUAACGCGUGGGAACGUGCCCUUUUCUGCGGAAUAGUCCUGGGAAACUGGGGGUAAUACCGCAUACGCCCUUUUGGGGAAAGAUUUAUCGGAGCAGGAUCGGCCCGCGUUGGAUUAGGUAGUUGGUGGGGUAAUGGCCCACCAAGCCGACGAUCCAUAGCUGGUUUGAGAGGAUGAUCAGCCACACUGGGACUGAGACACGGCCCAGACUCCUACGGGAGGCAGCAGUGGGGAAUCUUAGACAAUGGGGGCAACCCUGAUCUAGCCAUGCCGCGUGAGUGAUGAAGGCCUUAGGGUUGUAAAGCUCUUUCAGCUGGGAAGAUAAUGACGGUACCAGCAGAAGAAGCCCCGGCUAACUCCGUG
This 433-nucleotide ribosomal RNA is filed under the name uncultured bacterium. RNAcentral's name for it is "partial 16S ribosomal RNA". It matches the Rfam family "Bacterial small subunit ribosomal RNA", at positions 29 to 507 of the family's 1533-position model. The record is from RNAcentral.